GUAACGUGUGGAUAACCUGCCUCACACAGGGGAGUAACAGUUAGAAAUGACUGCUAAUACCGCAUAAGCGCACGGUACCGCAUGGUACAGUGUGAAAAACUCCGGUGGUGUGAGAUGGAUCCGCGUCUGAUUAGGUAGUUGGUGAGGUAACGGCCCACCAAGCCGACGAUCAGUAGCCGACCUGAGAGGGUGACCGGCCACAUUGGGACUGAGACACGGCCCAAACUCCUACGGGAGGCAGCAUG
RNAcentral lists this ribosomal RNA (245 nucleotides) under uncultured bacterium. RNAcentral describes it as "partial 16S ribosomal RNA". It matches the Rfam family "Bacterial small subunit ribosomal RNA", at positions 110 to 353 of the family's 1533-position model. The record is from RNAcentral.